Vigna unguiculata (cowpea) is the source of this 919-nucleotide long non-coding RNA. RefSeq lists it as uncharacterized. The record is from RefSeq and is a predicted model, not a curated record. NCBI's taxonomy places the organism in Eukaryota, Viridiplantae, Streptophyta, Magnoliopsida, Fabales, Fabaceae.
UUUUCACACACACCGUACACGAAACACACCUCACUGUUCACACUCACUUAAUCACAAAACCACUACACACAAAAGAGGACACACACGAAAAACAGGCGACAACUCUCUUCUCUAAAAGAAAAAAGAAAAAGGAAGGAAACAUUCACUCUCUGAUAUUCACCUCAUGGCCUAAACCACCAUUGUUUCAUUUUUUGCCCCAAUCCUUUCACGCACCAACUGUAAACGAAACCGGGGCUCACCUUCUCCACUCUUUCACACUUCACACCACCAUUGCUUGCGCCAAGCUUGGAUUUCCGGCAACGGGAACUAGAGGCACUGCGAGGCGUGAAGGUUGUCAGCCGAGAGGUUUUAUUCAAUAAAAGUGGAAAAGAUAAACAUUUGGUAUGAUAUCUGGACUUGUCCACUGUAUUAUUUGUGUGAUUUGGUACACCUUCCAAUCACGUAACAAGCUUUUGGCAUUGUUGUCGAGGACUAAAGUUUGGUUUAGUUUAAUUGUGUUUGUUUACUGAUUUAGGUUUUAUUUAUUUAUUUUAUUUAUUUAAGAAAAAAUGGCUUUAUUGUUCUACACUGUCUUUAUUAUUCUAUAUAGUUUAAUGCGCCUUUCUAGUUUUCUUCAUUAUCCAUGAGAUGCAAGGUUUCAGCUAAUCAACUACUCUACGGUCCAAAAGAUUGAAAGAACAACUUAAAGAAACAACAAUAUCAAGAGAAGACUAUUUAAGGAAGCACAAGAAGAUUCCCUUAUAAUUGUAGAAAGUACACAAGAUUUCUCUUAUCAUGCACAUAUCCAACCAUCAGAUCAUUACAAAGAGGUGGAUAUGGCCGGAACAGGUGAAGUACAACGUACUUUGGGAGAUUGUGCCACAUUCAUAGGUCCACUCAAUUUUAAUAACAAUGCUAGGCCAACCAUAACUAAACCAAA